ACUCAAACUGGGGGCUCUUUUGGGUUUUCUUUGGAAGAAAAGUGCCGCCAGGUUUUGAGUGU
This 62-nucleotide microRNA precursor is filed under the name Rattus norvegicus (Norway rat). Its description in RNAcentral is "Rno-Mir-430-P5b_pre stem-loop". The record is from RNAcentral. Lineage: Eukaryota; Metazoa; Chordata; Mammalia; Rodentia; Muridae.